UGGAGAGUUUGAUCCUGGCUCAGAACGAACGCUGGCGGCGUGCCUAACACAUGCAAGUCGAACGCGAAAGUCCCUUCGGGGAUGAGUAGAGUGGCGAACGGGUGAGUAACACGUGAGUAACCUACCUCUCAGUGGGGGAUAACAUCGCGAAAGCGAUGCUAAUACCGCAUACGAUCCUCUUCUGGACACAGAGGAGGAGGAAAGGUAGCUCUUUCGGAGGCUGCUGCUGGGAGAUGGGCUCGCGGACCAUUAGCUAGUUGGUGGGGUAAUGGCCUACCAAGGCGACGAUGGUUAGCCGACCUGAGAGGGUGAUCGGCCACACUGGCACUGAGACACGGGCCAGACUCCUACGGGAGGCAGCAGUGGGGAAUAUUGCGCAAUGGG
RNAcentral lists this ribosomal RNA (384 nucleotides) under Nitrospinota bacterium. RNAcentral's name for it is "bacterial SSU rRNA". It matches the Rfam family "Bacterial small subunit ribosomal RNA", at positions 1 to 375 of the family's 1533-position model. Lineage: Bacteria; Pseudomonadati; Nitrospinota. The record is from RNAcentral.